GUCGAACGAACUCUGGUAUUGAUUGGUGCUUGCAUCAUGAUUUACAUUUGAGUGAGUGGCGAACUGGUGAGUAACACGUGGGAAACCUGCCCAGAAGCGGGGGAUAACACCUGGAAACAGAUGCUAAUACCGCAUAACAACUUGGACCGCAUGGUCCGAGUUUGAAAGAUGGCUUCGGCUAUCACUUUUGGAUGGUCCCGCGGCGUAUUAGCUAGAUGGUGAGGUAACGGCUCACCAUGGCAAUGAUACGUAGCCGACCUGAGAGGGUAAUCGGCCACAUUGGGACUGAGACACGGCCCAAACUCCUACGGGAGGCAGCAGUAGGGAAUCUUCCACAAUGGACGAAAGUCUGAUGGAGCAACGCCGCGUGAGUGAAGAAGGGUUUCGGCUCGUAAAACUCUGUUGUUAAAGAAGAACAUAUCUGAGAGUAACUGUUCAGGUAUUGACGGUAUUUAACCAGAAAGCCACGGCUAACUACGUGCCAGCAGCCGCGGUAAUACGUAGGUGGCAAGCGUUGUCCGGAUUUAUUGGGCGUAAAGCGAGCGCAGGCGGUUUUUUAAGUCUGAUGUGAAAGCCUUCGGCUCAACCGAAGAAGUGCAUCGGAAACUGGGAAACUUGAGUGCAGAAGAGGACAGUGGAACUCCAUGUGUAGCGGUGAAAUGCGUAGAUAUAUGGAAGAACACCAGUGGCGAAGGCGGCUGUCUGGUCUGUAACUGACGCUGAGGCUCGAAAGUAUGGGUAGCAAACAGGAUUAGAUACCCUGGUAGUCCAUACCGUAAACGAUGAAUGCUAAGUGUUGGAGGGUUUCCGCCCUUCAGUGCUGCAGCUAACGCAUUAAGCAUUCCGCCUGGGGAGUACGGCCGCAAGGCUGAAACUCAAAGGAAUUGACGGGGGCCCGCACAAGCGGUGGAGCAUGUGGUUUAAUUCGAAGCUACGCGAAGAACCUUACCAGGUCUUGACAUACUAUGCAAAUCUAAGAGAUUAGACGUUCCCUUCGGGGACAUGGAUACAGGUGGUGCAUGGUUGUCGUCAGCUCGUGUCGUGAGAUGUUGGGUUAAGUCCCGCAACGAGCGCAACCCUUAUUAUCAGUUGCCAGCAUUAAGUUGGGCACUCUGGUGAGACUGCCGGUGACAAACCGGAGGAAGGUGGGGAUGACGUCAAAUCAUCAUGCCCCUUAUGACCUGGGCUACACACGUGCUACAAUGGAUGGUACAACGAGUUGCGAACUCGCGAGAGUAAGCUAAUCUCUUAAAGCCAUUCUCAGUUCGGAUUGUAGGCUGCAACUCGCCUACAUGAAGUCGGAAUCGCUAGUAAUCGCGGAUCAGCAUGCCGCGGUGAAUACGUUCCCGGGCCUUGUACACACCGCC
This 1367-nucleotide ribosomal RNA is filed under the name Lactiplantibacillus plantarum. Its description in RNAcentral is "bacterial SSU rRNA". It matches the Rfam family "Bacterial small subunit ribosomal RNA", at positions 61 to 1394 of the family's 1533-position model. The record is from RNAcentral. Lineage: Bacteria; Bacillati; Bacillota; Bacilli; Lactobacillales; Lactobacillaceae.